AACUCUUCAUGUUUCGAAAAUGGACUGGAAUGUUAAAAAUUGUUCUUCAUUUUCUAAAAAAUGCUUGCUUUUUCAAAAAUUGUUUAUAUUUUUAGAAGAAUGUCGUGUUUGAAAACGUGUACAUAAGUUACAAAAAUUUUCCAGCCUUAAAAAUUCGUUAGAAAUUUCAAAAAAUGUUCUUUUGAAGAAAAAAUGUUUCAAGCUUCUAAAAUACUCCUUUUUAUAUUUAUUUGUGUUUUUAUAAGUUCUUCAGAAAUUCAAAAUGAUAUCCAUUGAUAAAUUUCAUUCGUAAAUACAAAAAUUGUUUAAGUUUCAGAAAUUAAAACAAAUUGAAACAGAAACCAUUUAGAAAAAUGAGAAAGAGAAACACAAAUAAAAUAAAGAAUCAGAGAAAAAACUAAAUUGGAAAAUAACUAAAUAAAAAGCGAGAAAAAACAAACUGGUUAUCUGGGCCAGCCCAAUCGCUUCACUUGCGGCGGCAGUCCAGUCACUUUAUUCCGGCCUAUGCGAACCUAUCGGUAAUGGACGCAGAGUGCACCCAAUAGCAGGUUCCCCCUUUCGCCUUCUGUCGUAGUUGUAAGAAAGAACACAAAUUGCAUGUUGGAAGCCCGGUCAAUAGCGAAAUCACUAGUAGAGAACUACACCUUUUAACGAUUACUUCCACCUCCCUUGAUUACGACAAGUGGCAUACUACAUGCGUGACAUUUAUAGUAACCGGGGAGUUUUUUUUCUUUUUUCGUAGAUCCGUAUUUUCAAAGUGUUUUAUCUUCUAAACCAUGCGUUCAAAUCUUGAACUGUUUGCUUCGUCGGGUUUUUUUUUUGAAAUCUAUCUUUUCGGGUAAAAAAAAAAACAGACGGUCCCAUUUAGGAUCGCGGUCUCCUCCCGACGCCCGUGCCUCUUCCUCUCGGUGCUUCCCCACCUGGUGCCGCGCCACUCCUACUCCUCCUCCCACCGCCC
RNAcentral lists this long non-coding RNA (958 nucleotides) under Hordeum vulgare. Its description in RNAcentral is "long non-coding RNA (HVUL_LNC005804)". The record is from RNAcentral. Lineage: Eukaryota; Viridiplantae; Streptophyta; Magnoliopsida; Poales; Poaceae.